GCGCCCGUAGCUCAGCAGGAUAGAGCACCGGUUUCCUAAACCGAAGGUCGUGCGUUCGAAUCGCACCGGGCGCG
Molecule: transfer RNA, 74 nt
Filed under: Phycisphaerae bacterium
Lineage: Bacteria; Pseudomonadati; Planctomycetota; Phycisphaerae
Description: tRNA-Arg
Rfam family: tRNA
About the family: Transfer RNA (tRNA) molecules are approximately 80 nucleotides in length. Their secondary structure includes four short double-helical elements and three loops (D, anti-codon, and T loops). Further hydrogen bonds mediate the characteristic L-shaped molecular structure. tRNAs have two regions of fundamental functional importance: the anti-codon, which is responsible for specific mRNA codon recognition, and the 3' end, to which the tRNAs corresponding amino acid is attached (by aminoacyl-tRNA synthetases). tRNAs cope with the degeneracy of the genetic code in two manners: having more than one tRNA (with a specific anti-codon) for a particular amino acid; and 'wobble' base-pairing, i.e. permitting non-standard base-pairing at the 3rd anti-codon position.
Source: RNAcentral